CGCGACCCCAGGUCAGGCGGGGCUACCCGCUGAGUUUAAGCAU
RNAcentral lists this ribosomal RNA (43 nucleotides) under Acacia auriculiformis. Its description in RNAcentral is "partial large subunit ribosomal RNA". The record is from RNAcentral. RNAcentral also lists the same sequence under 1 other name. Lineage: Eukaryota; Viridiplantae; Streptophyta; Magnoliopsida; Fabales; Fabaceae.